This 253-nucleotide ribosomal RNA is filed under the name uncultured bacterium. RNAcentral's name for it is "partial 16S ribosomal RNA". It matches the Rfam family "Bacterial small subunit ribosomal RNA", at positions 524 to 776 of the family's 1533-position model. The record is from RNAcentral.
UACGUAGGGGGCAAGCGUUGUCCGGAAUCAUUGGGCGUAAAGCGCGCGUAGGCGGCCCGGUAAGUCCGCUGUAAAAGUCCAGGGCUCAACCCUGGAAAGCCGGUGGAUACUGUCGGGCUAGAGUCCGGAAGAGGCGAGUGGAAUUCCUGGUGUAGCGGUGGAAUGCGCAGAUAUCGGGAGGGACACCAAUGGCGAAGGCAGCUCGCUGGGACGUUACUGACGCUGAGACGCGAAAGCGUGGGGAGCAAACAGG